Molecule: ribosomal RNA, 390 nt
Filed under: uncultured bacterium
Lineage: Bacteria
Description: bacterial SSU rRNA
Rfam family: Bacterial small subunit ribosomal RNA
Source: RNAcentral
GACGAACGCUGGCGGCGUGCUUAACACAUGCAAGUCGAGCGGUAAGGCCCUUUCGGGGGUACACGAGCGGCGAACGGGUGAGUAACACGUGGGUGACCUGCCUUUAGCUCUGGGAUAAGCCUGGGAAACUGGGUCUAAUACCGGAUACGACUCCGCGGUGCAUGCUGUGGGGUGGAAAGCCUUGUGCGGCUGGAGAUGGGCCCGCGGCCUAUCAGCUUGUUGGUGGGGUGAUGGCCUACCAAGGCGACGACGGGUAGCCGGCCUGAGAGGGCGACCGGCCACACUGGGACUGAGACACGGCCCAGACUCCUACGGGAGGCAGCAGUGGGGAAUCUUGCGCAAUGGGCGAAAGCCUGACGCAGCGACGCUGCGUGAGGGAUGACGGCCUGG